RNAcentral lists this ribosomal RNA (830 nucleotides) under uncultured Bacteroidota bacterium. RNAcentral's name for it is "bacterial SSU rRNA". It matches the Rfam family "Bacterial small subunit ribosomal RNA", at positions 60 to 884 of the family's 1533-position model. Lineage: Bacteria; Pseudomonadati; Bacteroidota. The record is from RNAcentral.
AGUCGACGGUAACAGGAAAUAGCUUGCUAUUUUGCUGACGAGUGGCGCCCUUGUGCGUAACGCGUAUACAAUCUACCUUUUGCUGAGGGAUAGCCCAGAGAAAUUUGGAUUAAUACCUCAUGGUAUUAUUGAUAGGCAUCUAUUAAUAAUUAAAGGUUACGGCAAAAGAUGAGUAUGCGUCCCAUUAGCUAGUUGGUGAAGUAACGGUUCACCAAGGCAACGAUGGGUAGGGGUCCUGAGAGGGAGAUCCCCCACACUGGUACUGAGACACGGACCAGACUCCUACGGGAGGCAGCAGUGAGGAAUAUUGGACAAUGGGCGAGAGCCUGAUCCAGCCAUGCCGCGUGCAGGAAGACUGCCCUAUGGGUUGUAAACUGCUUUUAUACAGGAAGAAUAAGCCUUACGUGUAAGGUGAUGACGGUACUGUAAGAAUAAGGACCGGCUAACUCCGUGCCAGCAGCCGCGGUAAUACGGAGGGUCCGAGCGUUAUCCGGAAUUAUUGGGUUUAAAGGGUCCGUAGGCGGAUGAUUAAGUCAGGGGUGAAAGUUUGCAGCUCAACUGUAAAAUUGCCUUUGAUACUGGUCAUCUUGAGUUGUAUUGAAGUAGGCGGAAUAUGUAGUGUAGCGGUGAAAUGCAUAGAUAUUACAUAGAACACCAAUUGCGAAGGCAGCUUACUAAGUACUAACUGACGCUGAUGGACGAAAGCGUGGGUAGCGAACAGGAUUAGAUACCCUGGUAGUCCACGCCGUAAACGAUGGAUACUAGCUGUUCGGGACCUUGAGUUCUGAGCGGCUAAGCGAAAGUGAUAAGUAUCCCACCUGGGGAGUACG